RNAcentral lists this ribosomal RNA (433 nucleotides) under uncultured bacterium. RNAcentral describes it as "partial 16S ribosomal RNA". It matches the Rfam family "Bacterial small subunit ribosomal RNA", at positions 29 to 507 of the family's 1533-position model. The record is from RNAcentral.
AACGAACGCUGGCGGCAUGCCUAACACAUGCAAGUCGAACGAGACCUUCGGGUCUAGUGGCGCACGGGUGCGUAACGCGUGGGAACCUGCCCUUAGGUUCGGAAUAACUCCCCGAAAGGGGUGCUAAUACCGGAUAAUGUCUUCGGACCAAAGAUUUAUCGCCUUUGGAUGGGCCUGCGUUGGAUUAGCUAGUUGGUAGGGUAAAAGCCUACCAAGGCGACGAUCCAUAGCUGGUCUGAGAGGAUGAGCAGCCACACUGGGACUGAGACACGGCCCAGACUCCUACGGGAGGCAGCAGUGGGGAAUAUUGGACAAUGGGGGAAAGCCUGAUCCAGCAAUGCCGCGUGAGUGAUGAAGGCCUUAGGGUUGUAAAGCUCUUUUACCCGGGAUGAUAAUGACAGUACCGGGAGAAUAAGCACCGGCUAACUCCGUG